Molecule: small nuclear RNA, 106 nt
Filed under: Zalophus californianus (California sea lion)
Lineage: Eukaryota; Metazoa; Chordata; Mammalia; Carnivora; Otariidae
Source: RNAcentral
GUGCUUGCUUCAGCAGCUCAAGCACUAAACCUGGAACAAUACAGAAAAGAUCAAAUGGCCCCUGCACACAGAUGACAUCCAAAUUCACGAAGCAACCCAUAUUUUU